Molecule: ribosomal RNA, 931 nt
Filed under: uncultured bacterium
Lineage: Bacteria
Description: bacterial SSU rRNA
Rfam family: Bacterial small subunit ribosomal RNA
Source: RNAcentral
AGAGUUUGAUCAUGGCUCAGGACGAACGCUGGCGGCGUGGUUUAGGCAUGCAAGUCGAACGGUAUAUACACCUUCGGGUGUAUAGAGAGUGGCGAACGGGUGAGUAACACGUAGAUGAUCUACCCUCAAGAGGGGGAUAACCCAGGGAAACUUGGGCUAAUACCGCAUGAGUGUAGCACCUUAAUUGUCAAUGAGAGUUGGUAAUUAAGGUGCUACAUAAAAGGUGGCCUUCGGGCUGUCGUUUGGGGAUGAGUCUGCGUCCUAUUAGUUAGUUGGUGAGGUAAAGGCUCACCAAGGCGAUGAUAGGUAGGCGGCCUUAACGGGUGGUCGCCCACACUGGGAUUGAGAUACGGCCCAGACUCCUACGGGAGGCAGCAGUCGAGAAUAGUCUACAAUGGACGAAAGUCUGAUAGUGCGACGCCGCGUGAACGAAGACUCCCUAACAGGGUGUAAAGUUCUUUUAUAUGUGAGCAAUGGUUUGUACAUUAAUAGUGUGCGAGCAGAGAUAUUAGCAUAUGAAUAAGCAACGGCUAACUCCGUGCCAGCAGCCGCGGUAACACGGGGGUUGCAAGCGUUGUCCGGAAUUACUAGGCGUAAAGGGCAGGUAGGCGGAUCAGUAAGUUUGAUGUUAAAUCCAUCGGCUCACCCGAUGACAGGCAUCAGAUACUGCUGAUCUGGAAUACGGUUGAGGAAGACAGAAUUCCUGGUGUAGCGGUGGAAUGCGCAGAGAUCAGGAGGAAUACCGAAUGCGAAGGCAGUCUUCUGGGCCGUUAUUGACGCUAAACUGCGAAGGUGUGGGGAUCAAACAGGAUUAGAUACCCUGGUAGUCCACACAGUAAACGAUAAUCACUAGGUGUUGGGUUCGCAGCGAACUCGGUGCCGUAGCUAACGCGUUAAGUGAUUCGCCUGGGGAGUACGAUCGCAAGGUUGA